GAUGAACGCUGGCGGCGUGCCUAAUACAUGCAAGUCGAGCGAACGGACGAGAAGCUUGCUUUUCUGAUGUUAGCGGCGGACGGGUGAGUAACACGUGGAUAACCUACCUAUAAGACUGGGAUAACUUCGGGAAACCGGAGCUAAUACCGGAUAAUAUUUUGAACCGCAUGGUUCAAAAGUGAAAGACGGUCUUCCUGUCACUUAUAGAUGGAUCCGCGCUGCAUUAGCUAGUUGGUAAGGUAACGGCUUACCAAGGCAACGAUGCAUAGCCGACCUGAGAGGGUGAUCAGCCACACUGGAACUGAGACACGGUCCAGACUCCUACGGGAGGCAGCAGUAGGGAAUCUUCCGCAAUGGGCGAAAGCCUGACGGAGCAACGCCGCGUGAGUGAUGAAGGUCUUCGGAUCGUAAAGCUCUGCUAUUAGGGAAGAACAUAUGUGUAAGUAACUGUGCACAUCUUGACGGUACCUAAUCAGAAAGCCACGGCUAACUACGUG
RNAcentral lists this ribosomal RNA (497 nucleotides) under uncultured bacterium. RNAcentral's name for it is "partial 16S ribosomal RNA". It matches the Rfam family "Bacterial small subunit ribosomal RNA", at positions 28 to 507 of the family's 1533-position model. The record is from RNAcentral.